UUCAGUUGCUUGUUUAGGAUUUUUUUUCCUAGGCAAAUCGUCGGUUUUCUGUGUUGCCUACCCACGUGAUGGUAUUGUCUCGGUUGAUCAUAGUUGCUUUCGUCUUGUGUCAUUCUUAUGGCAAAAGAUGAACCAUGAUGCAGUCUCUUUGAUCCACAUUGUUGAUGCUUGCGUUGAUGUUGUGGCCCAUUGAGCACUGCUUGGCAUCCUGGAUAUGGAAAACUAUGUGGGCUUGGGGUCUCUCGGGAUCCCUCUUUUGCUCUCAUUUAGCGGUGUGCCUCUCUUAAUAUGACUGUCUUUCCCGAAUUGGCUCGUACCACCGGGAUGGUAUAUGUCAAAGAGUGGUACAUCUCCUUGGAUGACUUGCCUGUCCCGCAUUGGCUCGUACCAGCGGGCGGGUUAUGUCAAAGAGGAGUGCUACCUGGUUGAUCCUGCCAGUAGUCAU
RNAcentral lists this unclassified non-coding RNA (445 nucleotides) under Epilepis rhyacophila. Its description in RNAcentral is "Coreopsis rhyacophila partial external transcribed spacer". The record is from RNAcentral. Lineage: Eukaryota; Viridiplantae; Streptophyta; Magnoliopsida; Asterales; Asteraceae.